RNAcentral lists this ribosomal RNA (253 nucleotides) under uncultured bacterium. Its description in RNAcentral is "partial 16S ribosomal RNA". It matches the Rfam family "Bacterial small subunit ribosomal RNA", at positions 524 to 776 of the family's 1533-position model. The record is from RNAcentral.
GACGUAGGAGGCGAGCGUUAUCCGGAUUCACUGGGCGUAAAGCGCAUGUAGGCGGUUGCACAAGUCCGUUGUUAAAGCCCCUGGCUCAACUAGGGGAGGUCAAUGGAGACUGUGCGACUUGAGGGCAAUAGAGGCACGUGGAACUCCCGGUGUAGCGGUGGAAUGCGUAGAGAUCGGGAAGAACACCAGUGGCGAAGGCGACGUGCUGGGUUGCACCUGACGCUGAGAUGCGAAAGUGUGGGGAGCAAACGGG